This 70-nucleotide transfer RNA is filed under the name Heterocephalus glaber (naked mole-rat). It matches the Rfam family "tRNA". From Rfam's summary of the family: Transfer RNA (tRNA) molecules are approximately 80 nucleotides in length. Their secondary structure includes four short double-helical elements and three loops (D, anti-codon, and T loops). Lineage: Eukaryota; Metazoa; Chordata; Mammalia; Rodentia; Bathyergidae. The record is from Rfam by way of RNAcentral.
UGAGGUGUAGCUCAAUGGGGGCACUUGCCUGGCAUGCAAGAGGCUCUCAGUUCAAUCCCCAGCACUGCAA